CUUCCCCGGUUCUCCCCGUCCUUCUAUAGCCGAGGAUCAGAAGAAACCAUUCAAAGAUUGUUUUGAGCUCCAAGGGGUCAAUCGGUCAGCUCAUAGAUGUUUUCUUUUUCCCUACUUUGCUUCGUACGGAUAGGAGAAACUAUUCAUAAUCAUAGUUGGUCAUUCAAGAUCCUGGACAGAAGUUUUCUUUUUUCCAUACUUUGCUUCAUACGGAUAGGAGAAACUAUUCAUAAUCAUAGUUGGUCAUUCAAGAUCCUGGACAGAAGUUUAUUCAUCUAUCUAUGCUUUCUAAUUCGCCAUGUUUGUGUUGCAGUCAGAACACUCUAAUUGGUCAUCUUCAUAUGGACAUUGCAGGUGUUCAACAAAAUAUUCAAGUGGCACAACGUAUAUGAUUCUCAUGUUGUUGCCUGCUGACAUUGCAGGUGUUCAACACACUAUUUCAAGUGGCCAAACGUAUUUUGCUUCUCAUAUUGUUCCAGGCUGGUAUAAAAGGGUUAGGAUGCAUCAAUUACCUCUGGCUUACUUCAAUCAAUAUAUGUGACCAUCAAACUCAAGGCCUGACCUGUGAUUUCACCAAAACGCCAAGACCAUACUCAUCUUUUUUACAUUUUGAAUUGUAUUAUCUGUCGGAAAAAAAUCUGUUAGAAUAUAUGUAUAACUCAAAAUGGUCUUCAUUUAGUAACACAGUAAUUUAUAUUCAUCAAGUAGGCAUUAUGAAAUGAUUUUCCCUCCACUUAUGGUUGAUAUUCUAUAAUUUGUACUUUAUAUAUUUUAUUCCGUAGAAGUGAUGCUCAAAUUUCCGCAGCAACGCGCGGGGUAUCCACUAGUUGAUUAAGGAAAAUCAAGCCAGCUUUGUCCGUGUGAGGUACUCCCGUCGUGAUCGCAUCCGAAGCAGAUCGGGCCAGUUUUGCAAGAGAUCAUCAUCACGAGCAGCUCGACUCAAGUUCCAGAACGGCUCCUUGGCGUUGACCUCACCGACAAGCACCUUCAGAACGGACGGAUGCUAACGAGGGAGCAAGGACAGCCUGGUGUGGUGGAGGCGGGCGACCUGGGCCGGCCGCGGCCGUGAGUCGGCUUGGGGCUAGGAAGAGAAAAGAAAAGCCAGACCGUCAUGGGCCGUGAGGAAUUCUAAGGAGACUUUGGGCCUAGAAAAAACUCUUUGGCCUGUUUGUGACACCAGCCAGCCACCUAUUGCAAUUUAAUAGUAAAGAAAGAUAUACACUUUCCCUAACAAAUUGCAAUUGGUAAACAACUAUUUUUUACACCGCCCCAUACUCCGAUGUCUUCCGAAUCUCGGCACCGCUCUAUGUCGUUGGUCUCUUGUAAUAGAGUUUUCAUUUUAGUCC
Molecule: long non-coding RNA, 1346 nt
Organism: Lolium perenne
Lineage: Eukaryota; Viridiplantae; Streptophyta; Magnoliopsida; Poales; Poaceae
Source: RefSeq, a predicted model, not a curated record